ACUGCAGAAAGAGGGGCAGGUUGUGCGCACCUCGCUGCGUUUGCUGGGAGAUGUUGUUUCAUAAAGACUCUCAGACCUUUUGUCACAGGGCUACAGGACUACAAUCCCAGGAUGCAUCGGGAUCAAAGCAGUAUGCGACACGGGGAAAAGAUGCGGAGCUGUGUGCGUCUCCCUAGGUCUUCUGGGAGAUGUGGUCUCUUGGCCCUUUGGUCACAGGGCUGCAGGACUACAAUGCCAGCAUGCAGCGGGUUCAUGGACAGUGUGUAUCACUGGAGGAAGACGUGGAGCUGUGCGUGCCUCGCUGGGCUUGCAGGGAGAUGCAGUCUCAUAACUACCCCAGUCGUUUGGUCGCAGGGCUGCAGCAGUACAAUUUCAGCAUAUCUCUGGCUCAGGGAGAGUGCACUAGUCACUGGAGGAAGAGGUGGGAUUGUGACAUACAUCUCUGCCCAGCUCCUGAGUGUUUUAGCUCUGUUUCCUGUGUCCAGCUCACAGAUGGGAUUCUGAUAUAUCACUGAAGCCAGCACCUAAAUGAUGUGACUCUUAUCUCCUGCCUUGGUGCUGCCCACAGGGGACAUUGGGACAUAUCACUUGGCCUUGCACCUAGGAUUUGUUUGGAAGGAGAUUGUGAUACAUUGGUGGGUCCAACUUCUCAGUGACAUUACUCUGUUGACUGUGCUCUGCAAGCAGAAAGCACUGUGACACAUUAUUGGGCCCAACACCAAGGUGAGUCUCCUGCCUGAAGCCUGCCUACAGCAAUUUGUAACAUAUGGCAUUGGGACAUAUCUCUGAGCCCAUCAACUAUUUGACAAGAUUCUCCUUUUUUAACAAAGGCUUUGCCCAUAGGAGAGAUUGUGACAUAAUUCUGAGCCCUGAAAAUAGGGGAUAUUUCUUUUGUUUUCUGCUUGAGCCCCACAUUGUGAUGUAUUUCUCCUCCCAACAACUGAGGGAAGGGAAAGUCCUGCCUGGGUCUUGCCUAUGGGGAGCCUUGUGAAAUCUUUCCGUGUUCAUCACCUUAAAUAUGUGACCCUCAUCUUCUGCCAUGGCCAUGUUUACAGAAGGGAGAGUGGGUUAUUCCUAGACCCAGCACACAGGUCAUGUGAUUCUGCAUCCUGGUGUCUCCAGAGGGGUCAUUUUGACAUAUCUCUAGACUCAUCAACUAGAUAAUGUAAUGCUCCUCUUCCCCCUGAAACCUAUCCAUAGUGGAGAUUGUGAAAUACAGCCUGGCACAGCACCUACAUGAUGGUACUCUCUUCUCAUGCUUGGGUGCUGGCCACAGGGGUGAUUAAGACUUAUAGCUGGGUACAGUCUUCAGGUGAUGUAACUCUCCUCUAUUUUUGGGCCCACACACACAGGGAACUACCAUAUAGCUCUGCUCCUCAGUCUUAGGUGAUGUGACUCUGCUGUCUGUUACCUCCUCUUAGGGGGAAUUGUGAUAUAUUGCUGGGCCCAGAACCGAGGUGAUGUGGCCUUUUCUCUUGCCUGGGCCCUGCAUACAUGGUGUACAGUAACAUAUAUCUGGGUUGAACACAUAGGUGAUGUGACUCUUCUGCAUAGGUCUUGCCAACAGGGGUAUUAUGACAUACUCUUCUAUUCAUUGCCUAGGCGAUGUGACUCUCCACUCUUACCUGGGCCCUUCCAAAAGAGGGGAUUGUGACAUAUCACUGACCCUAACACCAAGGUAAUGUGACUGUUCUCUUUUGCCUGGGUUUGCAUAUUUUGGGUAUUGUGACAUAUCCCUGGGCCCAACACUUAGGGAAUAAGAGGUUUAUUCCUCUACCUUACGUGCAGUGAAGCUUGUGACAUAUUUCUGCAUUCAUCACCAAGAAGAUGUGACUCUUCUGCCUGCAUCCUGACCACAGAGAGGAUUGUGAAAUAUUGCUAGAUCCAGCAUGCAGGUGAUGUGUCUCUGCUGCCUCGUUCCUAAUGUGAGGAGUGGAUUGCAACAUACCAAUGCCUGAACAU
RNAcentral lists this long non-coding RNA (1962 nucleotides) under Homo sapiens (human). RNAcentral's name for it is "HSALNT0402684". Lineage: Eukaryota; Metazoa; Chordata; Mammalia; Primates; Hominidae. The record is from RNAcentral.